AGUCCCGUGGUGAAUUUCCACAUUGAAUUGCAAAUUCAAAGGAGCAGCUUCAAUUCCUGCCGGGGCUU
This 68-nucleotide transfer RNA is filed under the name Equus caballus (horse). RNAcentral describes it as "tRNA-Cys". It matches the Rfam family "tRNA". From Rfam's summary of the family: Transfer RNA (tRNA) molecules are approximately 80 nucleotides in length. Their secondary structure includes four short double-helical elements and three loops (D, anti-codon, and T loops). Lineage: Eukaryota; Metazoa; Chordata; Mammalia; Perissodactyla; Equidae. The record is from RNAcentral.